Molecule: long non-coding RNA, 786 nt
Filed under: Rattus norvegicus (Norway rat)
Lineage: Eukaryota; Metazoa; Chordata; Mammalia; Rodentia; Muridae
Description: long non-coding RNA NONRATT012985
Source: RNAcentral
CGCAUUGUAAGCUUAUGCUCUCCCUCUCAAGACGCAUUAAAGCUUUUCUGUAGUAGGAUCCUGUGUGUGCCGCGUCGUUCCUGCUGGCGAGACGUAGCGCGGGACAUCUGGUGCCAAAAACCCGGGAAAGACCUCACCAUCGUCAGCACCUUCGGAGAUCCCUUGGCGACAAGGAGGAUUCAGAACUGCAGGACAAUGAAAAUCCCAUAUGGAUCCCAGUACGACUUACUCGGAGCAUCACAGCAAGUGAUCAAGAAGGGACUGGGACUCCUGCACCUCCUCACUCUUCUUCCAUGGAUGCCAGCAACGGUGCAGGGCGAGCUACGAUGGGGAAUAAUGUCAACCUUUCCACUCCCGAUGCCGGUGAUGUACCACUAACAGGGAUUUAGGGUUGGCCUAUUUACCUAAGGAUCCACAGGUUGAAUGACUAAAAGAAAAUAGGACUAUUCCUCUUAAGGGCAGCCUUUGUUUUGGCAUAUUCAACAAAACAUCUUUUGAUCUCCCUUGCAUUAUGUUAUGUAAUCAAUCUUCUGCUUGGUUAAGGGAGGCCACAUGGGGAACUGGUGAGGAGGACAUUGUGGCUAACGCCACAGUUCUCUAUGGUGGUGGCCUUACAUUGGGUUAAUGGUAGCUGCACUGAUCUUACGCCCAUGGCGAUGCUACUUGGAGGAAAGGGCGAAAAGGGACGGUUGUCAUUUUCCUGGACGGGGAACAUCAAACCUGCUGCCUCUGUCUGGACAGCUACUCAUAUAAAAUAUCGCAGUAGUUACCCGCAUGCCUCGCUUU